Molecule: ribosomal RNA, 868 nt
Filed under: Chlorencoelia torta
Lineage: Eukaryota; Fungi; Ascomycota; Leotiomycetes; Helotiales; Cenangiaceae
Description: eukaryotic LSU rRNA
Rfam family: Eukaryotic large subunit ribosomal RNA
Source: RNAcentral
AGAACGCAGCAGGGACUGCCUCAGUAUCGGAGAGUGAAGCGGCAAUAGCUCAAAUUGAAAUUUGUCUCUUUCAGGGUCCGAGUUGUAAUUGGUAGAAGAUGUUUCGGGUGUGGUCACAGUAUAAGUUCCCUGGAACCAGGACAUCACAGAGGGUGAGAAUCCCGUAUGUGACUGGGUACUUACGGCCAUGUGAAACUCUUUCGACGAGUUGAGUUGGUUGGGAAUGCAGCUCAUAAUGGGUGGUAAAUUUCAUCUAAAGAUAAAUAUCGGCCAGAGACCGAUAGCGCACAAGUAGAGUGAUGGAAAGAUGAAAAGCACUUUGGAAAGAGAGUUAAACAGUACGUGAAAUUGUCGAAAGGGAAGGGCAGGCACUCAGACUUGCGCCUAGUUGAUCAUCUCGGCUUGUUCCCCGUCCACUCGGUUAGGCUCAGGCCAGCAUCGGUUUAGAGGGUUGGAUAAAGGCCUUGGGAAUGUGGCCCCUCUCGGGGGGUGUUAUAGCCCAAGGUGCAAUGCAGCCACUCGGGACUGAGGACCGCGCUUCGGCUAGGAUGCUGGCGUAAAGGUUGUAUGCCGCCCGUCUUGAAACACGCACCAAGGAGUCUAACAUCUAUGCGAGUGUUUGGGUGUCAAACCCAUGCGCGUAAUGAAAGUGAACGGAGGUGAGAGCCCUUAAGGGUGCAUCAUCGACCGAUCCUGAUGUUUUCGGAUGGAUUUGAGUAAGAGCAUAUCUGUUGGGACCCGAAAGAUGGUGAACUAUGCCUGAAUAGGGUGAAGCCAGAGGAAACUCUGGUGGAGGCUCGCAGCGGUUCUGACGUGCAAAUCGAUCGUCAAAUUGGGUAUAGGGGCGAAAGACUAAUCGAACCCUUUU